Molecule: ribosomal RNA, 442 nt
Filed under: uncultured bacterium
Lineage: Bacteria
Description: bacterial SSU rRNA
Rfam family: Bacterial small subunit ribosomal RNA
Source: RNAcentral
GGCCGCGGGAAUUCGAUUCAGGCCUAACACAUGCAAGUCGAGCGGAUGACGGGGGCUUGCUCCUUGAUUCAGCGGCGGACGGGUGAGUAAUGCCUAGGAAUCUGCCUGGUAGUGGGGGACAACGUUUCGAAAGGAACGCUAAUACCGCAUACGUCCUACGGGAGAAAGCAGGGGACCUUCGGGCCUUGCGCUAUCAGAUGAGCCUAGGUCGGAUUAGCUAGUUGGUGGGGUAAUGGCUCACCAAGGCGACGAUCCGUAACUGGUCUGAGAGGAUGAUCAGUCACACUGGAACUGAGACACGAUCCAGACUCCUACGGGAGGCAGCAGUGGGGAAUAUUGGACAAUGGGCGAAAGCCUGAUUCAGCCAGGCCGCGUGUGUGAAGAAGGUCUUCGGAUGUAAAGCAAUGGAAGUUGGGAGGAAGGGCAGUAAGUUAAUACCUGC